This 594-nucleotide ribosomal RNA is filed under the name Salmonella enterica subsp. enterica serovar Bredeney. RNAcentral describes it as "partial 23S ribosomal RNA". It matches the Rfam family "Bacterial large subunit ribosomal RNA", at positions 1 to 589 of the family's 2925-position model. The record is from RNAcentral. Lineage: Bacteria; Pseudomonadati; Pseudomonadota; Gammaproteobacteria; Enterobacterales; Enterobacteriaceae.
GGGUUGUGAGGUUAAGCGACUAAGCGUACACGGUGGAUGCCCUGGCAGUCAGAGGCGAUGAAGGACGUGCUAAUCUGCGAUAAGCGCCGGUAAGGUGAUAUGAACCGUUAUAACCGGCGAUUUCCGAAUGGGGAAACCCAGUGUGACUCGUCACACUAUCAUUAACUGAAUCCAUAGGUUAAUGAGGCGAACCGGGGGAACUGAAACAUCUAAGUACCCCGAGGAAAAGAAAUCAACCGAGAUUCCCCCAGUAGCGGCGAGCGAACGGGGAGGAGCCCAGAGCCUGAAUCAGCAUGUGUGUUAGUGGAAGCGUCUGGAAAGGCGCGCGAUACAGGGUGACAGCCCCGUACACAAAAGCGCAUGUGCUGUGAGCUCGAUGAGUAGGGCGGGACACGUGGUAUCCUGUCUGAAUAUGGGGGGACCAUCCUCCAAGGCUAAAUACUCCUGACUGACCGAUAGUGAACCAGUACCGUGAGGGAAAGGCGAAAAGAACCCCGGCGAGGGGAGUGAAAAAGAACCUGAAACCGUGUACGUACAAGCAGUGGGAGCCCCACCACUAAGCCAGUGGUGAACUCCACAUACGCAUCCUUUGCU